GCCAGGCAUGGUGGCACACGCCUGUAAUCCCAGCAGCUCAGGUGGCUGAGGCAGGAGGAUUUCAAGUUCAAAGCCAGCCUCACCAACUUAGUGAGACCCUGUCUCUA
RNAcentral lists this small RNA (107 nucleotides) under Marmota monax (woodchuck). The record is from RNAcentral. Lineage: Eukaryota; Metazoa; Chordata; Mammalia; Rodentia; Sciuridae.